GAUGAACGCUGGCGGCAUGCCUAAUACAUGCAAGUCGAGCGAACAGAUGAAGUGCUUGCACUUCUGACGUUAGCGGCGAACGGGUGAGUAACACGUAAGGAAUCUACCUAUAAGCGGGGGAUAACAUUCGGAAACGGGUGCUAAUACCGCAUAAUGUCUUCUUCCGCAUGGAAGAAGAUUGAAAGACGGCUCUGCUGUCACUUAUAGAUGACCUUGCGGUGCAUUAGUUAGUUGGUGGGGUAAUGGCCUACCAAGACGAUGAUGCAUGGCCGACCUGAGAGGGUGAUCGGCCACAUUGGGACUGAGACACGGCCCAAACUCCUACGGGAGGCAGCAGUAGGAAAUCUUCCGCAAUGGGCGAAAGCCUGACGGAGCAAUGCCGCGUGAGUGAAGAAGGCCUUCGGGUCGUAAAACUCUGUUAUAAGAGAAGAACAAAUUGUAGAGUAACUGCUACAGUCUUGACGGUAUCUUAUCAGAAAGCCACGGCUAACUACGUGCCAGCCGCCGCCGUAA
This 513-nucleotide ribosomal RNA is filed under the name uncultured bacterium. RNAcentral describes it as "partial 16S ribosomal RNA". It matches the Rfam family "Bacterial small subunit ribosomal RNA", at positions 28 to 523 of the family's 1533-position model. The record is from RNAcentral.